This 734-nucleotide ribosomal RNA is filed under the name uncultured bacterium. Its description in RNAcentral is "bacterial SSU rRNA". It matches the Rfam family "Bacterial small subunit ribosomal RNA", at positions 53 to 802 of the family's 1533-position model. The record is from RNAcentral.
GGAUGUACGGUGAAGAGAUUUCGGUCAAUCAUGUGCAUCUUUAGUGGCGGACGGGUGAGUAACGCGUGGGUAACCUGCCUUACACAGGGGGAUAACACUUAGAAAUAGGUGCUAAUACCGCAUGAGCGCACAGGACCGCAUGGUCGAGUGUGAAAAACUGAGGUGGUGUAAGAUGGACCCGCGUCUGAUUAGCUGGUUGGUGAGGUAACGGCCCACCAAGGCGACGAUCAGUAGCCGGCCUGAGAGGGUGGACGGCCACAUUGGGACUGAGACACGGCCCAAACUCCUACGGGAGGCAGCAGUGGGGGAUAUUGGACAAUGGGGGGAACCCUGAUCCAGCGACGCCGCGUGAGUGAAGAAGUAUCUCGGUAUGUAAAGCUCUAUCAGCAGGGAAGAAGAAAUGACGGUACCUGAGUAAGAAGCCCCGGCUAACUACGUGCCAGCAGCCGCGGUAAUACGUAGGGGGCAAGCGUUAUCCGGAAUUACUGGGUGUAAAGGGAGCGUAGACGGUGAUGUAAGUCUGGAGUGAAAGGCGGGGGCCCAACCCCCGGACUGCUCUGGAAACUAUGUGACUGGAGUGCAGGAGAGGUGAGCGGAAUUCCUAGUGUAGCGGUGAAAUGCGUAGAUAUUAGGAGGAACACCAGUGGCGAAGGCGGCUCACUGGACUGUAACUGACGUUGAGGCUCGAAAGCGUGNGGAGCAAACAGGAUUAGAUACCCUGGUANUCCACGCCG